AGAGUUUGAUCAUGGCUCAGGACGAACGCUGGCGGCGUGCCUAAAACAUGCAAGUCGAACGGGGUAGCAAUACCUAGUGGCGAACGGCGGAGUAAUACGUGAACAACGUGCCUUGAAGACUGGGAUAGCCAGGAGAAACCCUGAGUAAUACCGGAUGUGGCAACGGAAUGGCAUCAUUUCGUUACUAAAUGGUUUUUCGCUUCAAGAGCGGUUCACGGCCCAUCAGCUAGUUGGUGAGGUAACGGCUCACCAAGGCGACGACGGGUAGGGGGUCUGAGAGGAUGAUCCCCCCGAGUGGGACUGAGACACGGCCCACACACCUACGGGUGGCAGCAGUUGGGAAUCUUGCACAAUGGGGGAAACCCUGAUGCAGCGACGCCGCGUGGAGGACGAAGGGUCUAGGCUCGUAAACUCCUUUUUUCGGGAAAGACUUAGGACGGUACCCGAAGAAUAAGCACCGGCUAACUACGUGCCAGCCGCCGCGGUAAUAC
RNAcentral lists this ribosomal RNA (491 nucleotides) under uncultured bacterium. RNAcentral's name for it is "bacterial SSU rRNA". It matches the Rfam family "Bacterial small subunit ribosomal RNA", at positions 8 to 526 of the family's 1533-position model. The record is from RNAcentral.